AAAUUGAAGAGUUUGAUCAUGGCUCAGAUUGAACGCUGGCGGCAGGCCUAACACAUGCAAGUCGAACGGUAACAGGAAGCAGCUUGCUGCUUCGCUGACGAGUGGCGGACGGGUGAGUAAUGUCUGGGAAACUGCCUGAUGGAGGGGGAUAACUACUGGAAACGGUGGCUAAUACCGCAUAACGUCGCAAGACCAAAGAGGGGGACCUUCGGGCCUCUUGCCAUCAGAUGUGCCCAGAUGGGAUUAGCUAGUUGGUGAGGUAACGGCUCACCAAGGCGACGAUCCCUAGCUGGUCUGAGAGGAUGACCAGCCACACUGGAACUGAGACACGGUCCAGACUCCUACGGGAGGCAGCAGUGGGGAAUAUUGCACAAUGGGCGCAAGCCUGAUGCAGCCAUGCCGCGUGUAUGAAGAAGGCCUUCGGGUUGUAAAGUACUUUCAGCGGGGAGGAAGGUGUUGUGGUUAAUAACCGCAGCAAUUGACGUUACCCGCAGAAGAAGCACCGGCUAACUCCGUGCCAGCAGCCGCGGUAAUACGGAGGGUGCAAGCGUUAAUCGGAAUUACUGGGCGUAAAGCGCACGCAGGCGGUCUGUCAAGUCGGAUGUGAAAUCCCCGGGCUCAACCUGGGAACUGCAUUCGAAACUGGCAGGCUUGAGUCUUGUAGAGGGGGGUAGAAUUCCAGGUGUAGCGGUGAAAUGCGUAGAGAUCUGGAGGAAUACCGGUGGCGAAGGCGGCCCCCUGGACAAAGACUGACGCUCAGGUGCGAAAGCGUGGGGAGCAAACAGGAUUAGAUACCCUGGUAGUCCACGCCGUAAACGAUGUCUACUUGGAGGUUGUGCCCUUGAGGCGUGGCUUCCGGAGCUAACGCGUUAAGUAGACCGCCUGGGGAGUACGGCCGCAAGGUUAAAACUCAAAUGAAUUGACGGGGGCCCGCACAAGCGGUGGAGCAUGUGGUUUAAUUCGAUGCAACGCGAAGAACCUUACCUGGUCUUGACAUCCACAGAACUUUCCAGAGAUGGAUUGGUGCCUUCGGGAACUGUGAGACAGGUGCUGCAUGGCUGUCGUCAGCUCGUGUUGUGAAAUGUUGGGUUAAGUCCCGCAACGAGCGCAACCCUUAUCCUUUGUUGCCAGCGGUCCGGCCGGGAACUCAAAGGAGACUGCCAGUGAUAAACUGGAGGAAGGUGGGGAUGACGUCAAGUCAUCAUGGCCCUUACGACCAGGGCUACACACGUGCUACAAUGGCGCAUACAAAGAGAAGCGACCUCGCGAGAGCAAGCGGACCUCAUAAAGUGCGUCGUAGUCCGGAUUGGAGUCUGCAACUCGACUCCAUGAAGUCGGAAUCGCUAGUAAUCGUGGAUCAGAAUGCCACGGUGAAUACGUUCCCGGGCCUUGUACACACCGCCCGUCACACCAUGGGAGUGGGUUGCAAAAGAAGUAGGUAGCUUAACCUUCGGGAGGGCGCUUACCACUUUGUGAUUCAUGACUGGGGUGAAGUCGUAACAAGGUAACCGUAGGGGAACCUGCGGUUGGAUCACCUCCUUACC
RNAcentral lists this ribosomal RNA (1544 nucleotides) under Salmonella enterica subsp. enterica serovar Newport str. CVM 19567. RNAcentral's name for it is "bacterial SSU rRNA". It matches the Rfam family "Bacterial small subunit ribosomal RNA". Lineage: Bacteria; Pseudomonadati; Pseudomonadota; Gammaproteobacteria; Enterobacterales; Enterobacteriaceae. The record is from RNAcentral.